This is a long non-coding RNA of Lolium rigidum, 346 nucleotides long. RefSeq lists it as uncharacterized. The record is from RefSeq and is a predicted model, not a curated record. NCBI's taxonomy places the organism in Eukaryota, Viridiplantae, Streptophyta, Magnoliopsida, Poales, Poaceae. The transcript is spliced from 2 exons.
ACACUAGUGAUCAUCAUGAUAUCUUACAUGUUAUUUAUUUCAGGACUAUGCCAGGAUGUGGUGAUUGCUGCAGGUUCUACCCUACAGUGGCUGAAGGUUGUUGCUGUUGCUGUUCCUUUCUACCGAUGCUCCAACUAUGGCUUUGUGGCUUUAUCAUUUUCAAGAUCAAAUUGAUGUCUUGUUUGCUGGACACCGUAUCUGUUAUUUUGUUUGGUUCAUGCUUUCUUCUAAAGAGUCAUGUACUGUUUAAUUGUCAAUGUCAUGGUGCUAAGUAUUAUGUUUGGAUAUAGUCAAUGCUGAAGAGUUGGUAUGGUCUAUGAAACAUAUGUUUGUUGUUUCUUAUGAA